AUUGGUGUGAAGGGAGCUCCU
Molecule: microRNA, 21 nt
Filed under: Corchorus olitorius
Lineage: Eukaryota; Viridiplantae; Streptophyta; Magnoliopsida; Malvales; Malvaceae
Description: cme-miR15
Source: RNAcentral